CCUACGGGAGGCAGCAGUAGGGAAUAUUGCUCAAUGGGGGAAACCCUGAAGCAGCAACGCCGCGUGGAGGAUGAAGGUUUUCGGAUUGUAAACUCCUUUUGUUAGAGAAGAUAAUGACGGUAUCUAACGAAUAAGCACCGGCUAACUCCGGGACAGCAGCCGCGGUAAUACGGAGGGUGCAAGCGUUACUCGGAAUCACUGGGCGUAAAGAGCGCGUAGGCGGGAUAGCAAGUCAGAUGUGAAAUCCUAUGGCUUAACCAUAGAACUGCAUUUGAAACUGUUAUUCUAGAGUAUGGGAGAGGUAGGUGGAAUUCGUGGUGUAGGGGUAAAAUGCGUAGAGAUCAAGAGGAAGACUCAUUGCGAAGGCGACCUGCUAGAACAUAACUGACGCUGAUGCGCGAAAGCGUGGGGAGCAAACAGGAUUAGAUACCCUUGUAGUC
Molecule: ribosomal RNA, 440 nt
Filed under: uncultured bacterium
Lineage: Bacteria
Description: partial 16S ribosomal RNA
Rfam family: Bacterial small subunit ribosomal RNA
Source: RNAcentral